RNAcentral lists this ribosomal RNA (869 nucleotides) under uncultured bacterium. Its description in RNAcentral is "bacterial SSU rRNA". It matches the Rfam family "Bacterial small subunit ribosomal RNA", at positions 10 to 922 of the family's 1533-position model. The record is from RNAcentral.
AGUUUGAUCCUGGCUCAGGAUGAACGCUGGCGGUAUGCUUAACACAUGCAAGUCGAACGGUGUCUUCGGACACAGUGGCGGACGGGUGAGUAACGCGUGAGAAUCUGGCUCUAGGUCUGGGACAACCACUGGAAACGGUGGCUAAUACCGGAUGUGCCGAGAGGUGAAAGGUUAACUGCCUAGAGAUGAGCUCGCGUCUGAUUAGCUAGUAGGUAGUGUAAUGGACUACCUAGGCGACGAUCAGUAGCUGGUCUGAGAGGACGAUCAGCCACACUGGGACUGAGACACGGCCCAGACUCCUACGGGAGGCAGCAGUGGGGAAUUUUCCGCAAUGGGCGAAAGCCUGACGGAGCAAUACCGCGUGAGGGAGGAAGGCUCUUGGGUCGUAAACCUCUUUUCUCAGGGAAGAACACAAUGACGGUACCUGAGGAAUAAGCAUCGGCUAACUCCGUGCCAGCAGCCGCGGUAAUACGGAGGAUGCAAGCGUUAUCCGGAAUGAUUGGGCGUAAAGCGUCCGCAGGUGGCAAUGUAAGUCUGCUGUUAAAGAGUCUAGCUCAACUAGAUACAAGCAGUGGAAACUACAUAGCUAGAGUACGUUCGGGGCAGAGGGAAUUCCUGGUGUAGCGGUGAAAUGCGUAGAGAUCAGGAAGAACACCGGUGGCGAAGGCGCUCUGCUAGGCCGUAACUGACACUGAGGGACGAAAGCUAGGGGAGCGAAUGGGAUUAGAUACCCCAGUAGUCCUAGCCGUAAACGAUGGAUACUAGGCGUGGCUUGUAUCGACCCGAGCCGUGCCGUAGCUAACGCGUUAAGUAUCCCGCCUGGGGAGUACGCCGGCAACGGUGAAACUCAAAGGAAUUGACGGGGGCCC